Molecule: ribosomal RNA, 3233 nt
Filed under: Pediastrum duplex
Lineage: Eukaryota; Viridiplantae; Chlorophyta; Chlorophyceae; Sphaeropleales; Hydrodictyaceae
Description: LSU rRNA
Rfam family: Bacterial large subunit ribosomal RNA
Source: RNAcentral
GUCAAAAAAAAGAAGGCUCACGACGGAGACCUAGGCUCUCAGAGACGAUGAAAGGCGCGAUACCGGCGAUAUGCUUUGGGGAGUAGGAAGAAUGCAUUGAUCCAAAGAUUCCUGAAUAGGGCAACCUGUCCGACUAUCUAUGAAUUCAUAAAUAGAUUAGAGGCAACCUGGUGAACUGAAACAUCUCAGUAGCCAGAGGAAAAGAAAGCAAAAGCGAUUCCCGUAGUAGCGGCGAGCGAACUGGGACCAGCCUAAACCAAUUUUAUUGGGGUUGUGGGAAGACAAAAAAACUUGUAAACAAAGUUUACUUCGCUCUUCGGCUUCUUCGCUUCGCGAAAGAAGCCGACGCGCUUGCGCUUUGGCUUCGGCAGAGCCGAGCCAAACCGAAGCGUUCGCUUCUUUCGCGGAGCGAAGGGAGCCGAUGCGAAGCAAAAGAAAGAGAAAAAAAAGACGAAGCAGCUGAAUCCUGCACCAUAGAUGGUGAAAGUCCAGUAGUCAUAUUCAAUUUCUCCAUUCAAUAUUUUAAUUUAAUGUCUAUCCCGAGUAGCAUGGGGCACGUGGAAUCCCGUGUGAAUCUGCGAGGACCACCUCGUAAGGCUAAACACUCCUGAGAGACCGAUAGCGAAAUAGUACAGCGAUGGAACGGUGAAAAGAACCCCCGUCGGGGAGUGAAAUAGAACAUGAAAUCGUGAGCUGACAAGCAGUGGGAGGAUUUUAAAAAUCUGACCUCGUGCCUGUUGAAGAAUGAGCCGGCGACUUAUAGGAAGUGGCAGGUUAAAGAGUAAGAUCUGGAGCCUAAGCGAAAGCGAGUCUUAAUAGGGCGAAAGUCACUUCUUAUGGACCCGAACCUGGAUGAUCUAACCAUGAGCAAGCUGAAGCUUAGGUAACACUUAGUGGAGGGCUGCACGGACCGGUGUUGAAAAAUCGGCCGAUGACUUGUGGUUAGCGGAGAAAUUCCAAUCGAAUUCAGAGCUAGCUGGUUCUCCCCGAAAUGCGUUGAGGCGCAGCGGCAAUGAUGGGCAGUCUAAGGGUAGAGCGACUGUUUCGGUGCGGGCUGCGAAAGCGGUACCAAGUCGUGGCAAACUCCGAAUAUUAGAUUUGCUUUCCAUAUGCCAGUGAGACAGUGGGAGAUAAGUUUCAUUGUCAAGAGGGAAACAGCCCAGAUCAUCAGCUAAGGCCCCUAAAUGACAUCUAAGUGGAAAAGGAUGUGAGAAUGCUGAAACAACCAGGAAGUUUGCUUAGAAGCAGCAAUUUUUUAAAGAGUGCGUAAUAGCUCACUGGUAAAGCGUUUUUGCGCCGACAAUGGCCGGGACUAAGGAGUCUGCCGAAGCUGUGAGAUUUUUUUUUUAUAAAAAUCGGUAGGGGAGCGUUCAGCAUUGGGUGAAGCUUCAAUGUAAGUUUGAGUGGACGGUGCUGAAGUGAGAAUGUCGGCUUGAGUAACGAAAACAUUGGUGAGAAUCCAAUGCCCCGAAAACCUAAGGGUUCCUUUACAAGGUUCGUCCAUGAAGGGUGAGUCAGGACCUAAGGCGAGGCCGACAGGCGUAGUCGAUGGCAAACAGGUUGAUAUUCCUGUACUUUUUUGAAAGGGAACCGAGGGACGAAGAAGGCUAAAUUGAGUCUGUGAAUGGAAUGCAGUGGAAAUGUUCGAGGUUAAACAGAUCGAAGAAAAACGAAUCUGUAGCUAAGGCAUGAUCCCACUCUCCUGAACUUGUUUGGGCAGAGUGUCAAUGAUGUCAUACUUCCAAGAAAAGCUCGUACACCAUCUUAUUGCUUCGCUUGCGAAGUGUAAGUUUAAACUUUCAAAAAACCUGUACCUGAAACCGACACAGGUAGGUUGGUAGAGAAUACUAAGGGGCGCAAGAGAACUCUCUCUAAGGAACUCGGCAAAUUGGCCCCGUAACUUCGGGAGAAGGGGCGCCUCUGACUUAGUCAGGGGCCACAGUAUAAAGAUUCAGGCAACUGUUUACCAAAAACACAGGUCUCCGCAAAGUCGUAAGACAAUAUAUGGGGGCUGACGCCUGCCCAGUGCCGGAAGGUGAAGGAAGUUGGUUAUUCAAGCCUUGUGCUUGGAGAAGCUGACAACCGAAGCCCCGGUGAACGGCAGCUGUAACUAUGACAGUUCUAAGGUAGCGAAAUUCAUUGUCGAGUAAGUUUCGACCUGCACGAAAGGCGUAAUGAUCUGAAUACUGUCUCAGAGAGAGACUUGGUGAAAUAGACUUAUCCGUGAAGAUGCGGAUUAACAACAUUUGGACAGAAAGACCCUAUGAAGCUUGACUGUAUCCUGGAAUUGGGUUCGGGCUUUUCUUGCGCAGUCUAGGUGGGAGGCAUUGAAGAUUUCUUUCCGGAGAGAUUGGAGCCAUCAGUGAGAGACCACUCUGGAAAGGCUAGAAUCCUAAGAGUGAUCCCUAAUCGGGACAUUUGACGUUUUCAGGAGGGCAGUUUUUUUGGGGCGAAAGUCCUCCUAAAAGGUAACGGAGGCGCGCAAAGGUUUCCUCAGUCUGGACGGAAAUCAGACGUUACAGAGUGUAAAGGCAAAAGGAAGCUUGACUGCAAGACCUACAAGUCGAGCAGGGGCGAAAGCCGGCCUUAGUGAUCCGACGGUGUCCGUGUGGAAGGGCCGUCGCUCAACGGAUAAAAGUUACUCUAGGGAUAACAGGCUGAUCUUCUCCAAGAGUUCACAUCGACGAGAAGGUUUGGCACCUCGAUGUCGGCUCAUCACAUCCUGGGGCUGUAGUAGGUCCCAAGGGUUGGGCUGUUCGCCCAUUAAAGUGGUACGUGAGCUGGGUUCAAAACGUUUCGGUCGGUGCUUCGGCUUCGCCGACGCGCGACCGAAGCGAAAGGAGCCGAAGCGAAGGCUCUUCACUCCUUCGGUUCUUCGCCGAAGGCGAUGGAGCGAAGAGCCGAGGAACCGAAGCGAAGCAAGCACUCGUUUCUUAAAGCGUAAGACAGUUUGGUCCAUAUCCGAUGUUGUCGUUAGAGCGCUGAGGGGAUCCUUAAAUAGUACGAGAGGAUUUUUAAGGUCGUGCCUAUGGUGUAUCAGUUCUCUCUCCAGAGGGAAACGCUGAGUAGCUACGCACGGUUUAGAUAACCGCUGAAAGCAUCUAAGUGGGAAGCUUUCCUCAAGAUGAGCGCUCUCCAUUAUGCCACAGCUAGACAAGCUGAUGAUAGGUAUCAGGUGAAAGGUCUGCAAGGAUUUGAGCCGAGAUAUACUAAAGGCCAAUUGAUUUUGACCA